Non-coding RNA from Misgurnus anguillicaudatus (oriental weatherfish), 2928 nucleotides. Lineage: Eukaryota; Metazoa; Chordata; Actinopteri; Cypriniformes; Cobitidae. The record is from RefSeq and is a predicted model, not a curated record.
AGCAGAGAGAGGUAUUGUGCAAGAUUUGCAAAAUUAAAGUUGCAACAUCACGUGGCAAUUUCACGUGGAAAACAUUUCUAGUUUUACAAAUACACAUUUUAGCAUUAUCACUAAACUGUGUGUGCAUUUUCCUUUAAAACCCAUCAAGUUGACUCAUGAUACCAUCUAUUAUAACCGCAACCCACAUCGCAAUAUUAGCAUCAAUAACCGCAAUGGGGAAAAUAUCCCAAACCGUGCAGCCCUAUUUAACAUUAGUAAAAUAAUGAAGUAACGAAUAAAGUGAUAAUUGAACACUAAUGAUGAUGUUUGCUGUUAACAAGCAGAAAGGUAAAAGGUAAAGGUAACAGAAAGGUAAACAGAAAGACGUUAAAGCAACCAGAUGACUUGGUUCAGACAAUUACUUAACAGUGCAUUUUCUCCUUUAUGUUAGACAAAGCACACCAUGUGAAUUUCAUUUAAUACAUUUUGGAACAAAUCUGAGUCCACUUAUCAUUUCUACUUACAAACUAACAUUUCUUUUCUGGUCCGUUUGCAGUGUGUGGGCGAGAUCUGGACUGAGAACUAAGACGUAUACUAAGACAGAACGAGGUGUUGUGGCCCACAGAGUGAAAUGCACACAUUGAGGAAUGGACCCAGACCAUCGGUGCCGGACGUCUGACCCACCAACCUCCAUCCCGUCAGCCAGCGCCUUCUCCGGCUCCGAUUGCGGUAUCGCUUCUCGGCAUUUUGGAUAAGAUCAAGUGGACACUGGGGACUACACAUUUAAAUGGAUUUUUGACCUUUGGAAGUGGAAGCGAGGCUUGCUCCGUCCACUCCAUGCAUUGACUCGGGCACUUUCCGGGGACAAAUAAGAGACAAUGGCGGCAUGCUCCAGCGUCGCCUACAUGCCCAUUUCACAAAAUGGCGGCUUUGACCGGAAGUAGGGAAAACAUCCUUCCAGCUCCACCACUACGAUGGCCACUCAAUAUAAUAUGGACUGACAACUGCAUGUUUUCUCCCAAAAACGAAUUUACUUGUCAAAAAUAACAAUAGCAGAUAUUGUCCAUUUAGGUGUUACUUGGAAAUGACUGAAUAAUGUUUCGAAUGUUUUUUUAGCAUUUCGUAUUAUGAAAAUAUAUCACAUGUAAGACAGCUGUAAAUUUCAAAUAAAAUAACGAGACAUACACAACUGUUUGCGUCUGCUCCUGUUUACUGUAAUGACGGGGGUCUUUGUCCAAAGUGUGCACAUUUGGAGAAGUACAUACACGUUUUACUUCUUAUUUCUGUAGACUGAAUAAUUAUUUCUUAUUAAUUCCAAAGGAUGCGACAUGAUGAUCUAAUCGUAUGUGUUAUUCCUCGUUUGCUUGGAUGUGUAACCUUUGGUUAAAGGUAUGAAAAGGUCACCUGGGUUAUUUAUUCACACAGGAAAAUAGAUUGAACCCAAGAGACAAAUUAAACAAACAAAAAAUUACAAAAAUAUGAAAAGGACCCUGCUGGUUCGGAUGGGAUUAAAUAGACGUGACUUUCCAAAAAUAGUAAAAAUUUAUUUUUACAGAAAGUGCUUAAAAAUAUUUUAAAAAACACCAUUUACAGCCCACCAGUUAUUUACUCAGAAUUGGAGAGACUAGAUUAAGGGCCAAUCUCAUUUCUCUGUCUUACCCCUUCCCCUUUGUCUUCGUCUUCCCCUUGCCCCUCGAAACCGAGUAAAGGGGAAAGGGGUAAGAAAGAUUGUUCGUCUAAAAAAUGAGACGCCACUCGAUUACCGUUUGCGUCACUUUCCCUUGCCACUAACCGGCUGCUACGUAAACAGACAAGCGUUGACAAACAAAGAAGAUGCCGUUGUCUCAGGUUGUGGUAUCGAUUGCCUGAGCGGAGCUCAACAAAUAGCACAUAACUUAGCUGCUAGCUAGCGCCUUAACUAGCGAUUCAAAACAAAAACAUUACAAUUAAAACCGCUUGAACAUUUUAUUAAAAGUAUCAUAAAACAUGUGUGUCAUAAUAUAAUCUCAAUUAAACUGCAGAAAAUAACGUUACUUUCAUUUUUGCGACUCCUUGACAGUUCGACGUUCAUCAAUAAAACGUCUUGAUGCCGGCUCUCCUGAGAUAUUCCUACAUUAACGUUUACCCCUCUCUUUCAAGUGUGGUCAUUAUCACACUUCUUUCAAGGGCUUUGUAUCGCUACGCCUUGGCCCUAGCCCUUGAUCAAACUGAGAAUUGAGACACCACUUCGCCUCACAUGAACGCGCAAAACCGAGGUGAAGGGGUAAGGGGAAGGGUUAAGACAGAGAAAUGAGACACACCCUAAAUCCACUUUUUAACAGAAGGGAAAAACCACACAGAAAAUCAGUGCAUAAUUUUUAAAAGCAGUGAUGAACCAAAAAUAAACCAAAACCAAAGCACACAAACAUACUCUCGCCUUCUGUUUAAGUCUCAAAAACCACAGCUCAGAUGUUACAUGUGGAAAGAGUUAUAUAAAUGGUACAUACACUUAUAUACACGCGUAAAGAAAAAAAACUGCAGGACUGCAUAAACAUUAACACGGAAUAAUGCGGCAAAAAAUCAAAUGUGCAUUUAACCCCCUGGGGUCCAAAAACGCGGCGCCGCGUUUUGACGUGUUUUUUCCUUAUCAUGGCAGAACCAACUUAAAAUACUCCAUCAUUAAUAAUCAUACACUUACGUGUUUGACAUCAUUUGAAAAGGUAAAGGAUCUUCUUUAAUAUGUGUUCAUUCACAAUAACAACAGAUCUUUGUGUUUUGUCAAAUAAAGAAAAUAAACAGGGUGUGCAUCCAGACAUUUCUGUCUCUGCCAGCUGUCUCUCAAAACACGUUACAAAAGUCAAUUGAAACUCCGCGAAUACUCGUCACACAAGCAUGAUACACAUAUCCAAAGAAAGCCUGAAAUGUCUACUUUUAAAGGACAAGUUCGGUAUUUUACACUUAAAGCCCUGU